Long non-coding RNA from Phacochoerus africanus (Common warthog), 651 nucleotides. RefSeq lists it as uncharacterized. The record is from RefSeq and is a predicted model, not a curated record. NCBI's taxonomy places the organism in Eukaryota, Metazoa, Chordata, Mammalia, Artiodactyla, Suidae. The transcript is spliced from 2 exons.
AUUUGCAUUACCUAAUGCAGUUAAUAUUACCUAAAUUGUUGAACUUAAGCUUUCCUACUUUAAGUGCCUUUAACAGUGUUUUUAUUUGGAAUAUAAAAUGUAAAGGAAAUUUUAUGUAGUUCUGCACAGUUUCUCUUUUAUGAUAUACUUUUUGAGUAAUUUGCAGCAACUUUUUUUUUUAACCUUAGAUUGCACAGAGCAUUAUAUUCAUGGAUUCUUCACUAUUCUGCUAGUGAGUCCUUGAGAAAUCUAAGUUAAAGAUUAGCUCAGUGAGCAGGACACGAGACCAGAUUUAAGAGAAGUUGUGAAAUGUAAGACUUUAUUUGGCCAUGUAAAGAAUGACUUCUGGAAAAACUACCAUCUUCCGUCACCAUCACUUUAUUUUAGAUCCCCUCAAGCUCCCCCCAAACUUAGGAAGGACAUAACUUAGAAUAAAAGAGAGUUACUUAACUUGAAUGACCUUAAAAUUGAUGGAAAAAGUACUACACUGUUCUUUUCUCAUUUGCUCUGGAUCACUGAAAACUUCAUGAAGGAACAGUACCAGUCCAUAGACUGGCCGAUGGAAAGUGCUGUGAUACAGUUGUUCAAAGACCUAAUGUAGUUAUAAAAUUAUUGUUGAUUAGCAGAUGUAAUAAACAGCAUGCAUUCUGA